UACGGGGGGGGCAAGCGUUGUUCGGAAUUACUGGGCGUAAAGGGCUCGUAGGUGGCCAACUAAGUCAGACGUGAAAUCCCUCAGCUUAACUGGGGAACUGCGUCUGAUACUGGAUGGCUUGAGUUUGGGAGAGGGAUGCGGAAUUCCAGGUGUAGCGGUGAAAUGCGUAGAUAUCUGGAGGAACACCGGUGGCGAAGGCGGCAUCCUGGACCAACACUGACACUGAGGAGCGAAAGCCAGGGGAGCAACGGG
This 252-nucleotide ribosomal RNA is filed under the name uncultured bacterium. Its description in RNAcentral is "partial 16S ribosomal RNA". It matches the Rfam family "Bacterial small subunit ribosomal RNA", at positions 524 to 775 of the family's 1533-position model. The record is from RNAcentral.